AUUGCGAUCAAUUUUUGGGGAUUAGAUUCUGGCCCGUCUUCAUCUUCAGACAGGAACCGCAAGAAUCCGUGACCCCCGGAUUUGAACUAUGAUACUGAUGCCAGCAUUAACAACCCACCCUCCCUACCACCAUCACCAGGUCGGUUCCGUCCAUACUCAAGGGGGAUUAGAUUCUGGCCCGUCUUCAUCUUCAGACAGGAACCGCAAGAAUCCGUGACCCCCGGAUUUGAACUAUGGUCGGGGCCUACGCCAAAGAACUAUACUGUGUUACAUUCUAACCUUGGUUGCUAACUACUGUUAAAUAAACUCAUAUGUCAAGUCUUAACCUA
Paramisgurnus dabryanus is the source of this 329-nucleotide non-coding RNA. NCBI's taxonomy places the organism in Eukaryota, Metazoa, Chordata, Actinopteri, Cypriniformes, Cobitidae. The record is from RefSeq and is a predicted model, not a curated record.